RNAcentral lists this transfer RNA (70 nucleotides) under Acropyga smithii. RNAcentral's name for it is "tRNA-Gln". The record is from RNAcentral. Lineage: Eukaryota; Metazoa; Arthropoda; Insecta; Hymenoptera; Formicidae.
UAUAUUUUGGUGUAUAAAUGCAUAAAAAAUUUUUGAAAUUUUUUGAGAUAGUUUAAUCUAUUAAAUAUAA